This 614-nucleotide ribosomal RNA is filed under the name Lactiplantibacillus plantarum. RNAcentral describes it as "Lactobacillus plantarum partial 16S ribosomal RNA". It matches the Rfam family "Bacterial small subunit ribosomal RNA", at positions 30 to 610 of the family's 1533-position model. The record is from RNAcentral. Lineage: Bacteria; Bacillati; Bacillota; Bacilli; Lactobacillales; Lactobacillaceae.
GAGACGCUGGCGGCGUGCCUAAUACAUGCAAGUCGAACGAACUCUGGGUUGAUUGGUGUUGCUUCAUGAUUUACAUUUUGAGUGAGUGGCGGACUGGUGAGUAACACGUGGGUAAACCUGCCCAAAAAGUGGGGGAUAACUUUGGAAAACAGAUGCUAAUACCCGCAUAACAACUACUUACCGCUGGGCCCAACUUUGAAAAAGGGCCUGCGCUAUCUUUUUUGAUGGACCCCCGCGCGCGUUUACCUAUUGGGGGGGGUAACGGCUCACCAUGGCUGUGAUACGUACCCAACCUGAAGGGGUAAUCGCCCAUUGGGACUGGAACACACGGCCCAACUCCCUACGGAGGGCACCAUUAGGAAAUCUUCCACAUGGGACAAAGCCCGGAGGAACCAUGCCCCGUGGAUGAAAAAAGGUUUUCGACUCUAAAACUUCUGUUGUUAAAAAAAAAUGCUCGAAAAUUACUGGUCCAGGACUGGCCGGAUUCUACCCAAAAGCCCCCGGUAAAUACCUGGCCACCACCCGCGUUAACCUAAGUUGCCAGCCUUUGUCGGAAUUUUUGGCCUUAAACAAUGUCAGGCGGUUUUUAAUUCUGAUGUGAAGCCCUUCGCUUC